Molecule: RNA transcript, 1711 nt
Organism: Physcomitrium patens
Lineage: Eukaryota; Viridiplantae; Streptophyta; Bryopsida; Funariales; Funariaceae
Source: RefSeq, a predicted model, not a curated record
CGCGCGCUCAGUCCUGUGCUUCGGCACUCCUGUCUCGGCGCCAUGAAAUUCAUUAUAAUCGAAUGCAGCGCUAAAUCCGUAAUUCGGUGGGAUGCCGCGACACUAGAGUACGUUGAGAGUUGUUGAUGUAAUUAGGGCAUGAGGCUCGUGGAUCGAAUUAGUGUUGCUUCGCAAUGAAAUCGAUCAUAUCGAGAUUUCAUGGUGGAUACUGUGAUCGGUCCCGGAAGGCGGAUCCCUUUGCGUGAUUCGAUGACUGCUUUGGCAUAGGGUCCGAGCAUGUGCGGCUACUAUAUACGUUGCUUGGCGUCGAUUUAACUUGGUGAUGGGGCGAGUGAUUGGAAAUGCUUUGCGGAGACACGAGGGAUCGGCUGGCGGGAGAGUGCAGAUCUAACCGAUAACGAACGAUUUGUUGCUGUCGUGGAAAUAGGCUUUUGAAGGUUAUAAUUUUCUCUUGGGAUGAAUGCCAUUAACGGUCAUCCUUCGAAGCAUAAGUAACGCUCGCGGUUAAAGAUUUUGGCUUCACAGGCGAACUUUCUAAAUCUACAUUCAUCGAUUUUGCCUUAGUAUCCUAAUGAACAUUGUGAGGAUUAGCAUGUGUGAUAACAUCAGUUUUCAACAAGUUAAUCUUCGCACAUUGUGUAUGUAUUAUUGAUACUUAAGUGAUGCCUUUCGCUGCGCAUUAUUAAUUCCAAUGCUGCAAACACCGAUUUGCAGGCAAAUUUCUGCUGCAUCAUCCUACUGUUUCUCCACUUAAGAGAAUCUGAAAGGAGAAAUUAUCGUGUGCCAUGUCGACCCCAGCUGCUUCCCGUAUGUGUAGAUCUCUUCUUCGUGAUAUGGAUUGCACUUUUUAGUCCCCGGGAGCGAUGGUGCAAAACCUGAUGCUCAUGGCACUAGCAUCAAGAGCUUUACGGAAAUGAGCAAGCAAGACUAUACUGGUUUGGACAAUGUGAUAUAUGUUCCCCUAACUUGGUGAUAUAUUCACAAGGCUCGAUGUCAUCGUUGACUAUACAGGAUUGGCAUCAAAGACUUUGCAAAUAUAUUUCUGCUAUGAUAUUUAUAUACAGAACUACUAAAGGAAACGGUGAAAAUUUUGAUGCAGUUGGAAGCUACAACAAAUCCAUGAUUUGGUAAACUCCUGUGAAAAAAUUGUCCUGCUGAGCAUGUACUUGGUGACGACGCCUCGAGGCCUUCUGAGGUACUGCUGCACGGGCAGUAUCAAUUUUUUAAAUUGCAAGUUUCAAAAAUAUGUUUUUGUUCUUCUGGAUACUUUCUGUGCGUGGAUUAUGAGUGAAGCUAUCCCCAGGUUUGCUGAUGCUAAGGUAAACUAGGAGCUUGAUCGUGCCAUCGAAUAAGUUGGAAUAGCUACCCCGACCUUUCCCAAAAUUGUGAAUAAAUGGUUGAACUGAUGCUCCUAUUUUCAAAACAUAAUUGUAAUGUUCUACCUCAUCGAAUACCUCAUCGAAUCAUUGGAAUACCUCAUCGAAUCAAUGUUCAUUUGUAGUUACCAAUUUUUCGACUUCUGUCCACUCCGCCAAAUUAGAGUGUUUAUUUGCGGUCUUGGAUCACGUUCUCUUUGUAGUGUAUGAGCCUCCGAGUCGGUGACUGCUUACAUCGAAGACGGGAAGUGAAAGGGGCGAGGCGGUAAUUUUGUUCCUGCAACAACAAAUCAAAGUCACGUUUGAAAACAAGUUGAUGAUCCGGGUCAAAAGGA